RNAcentral lists this ribosomal RNA (486 nucleotides) under uncultured bacterium. Its description in RNAcentral is "partial 16S ribosomal RNA". It matches the Rfam family "Bacterial small subunit ribosomal RNA", at positions 28 to 507 of the family's 1533-position model. The record is from RNAcentral.
GAUGAACGCUGGCGGCGUGCCUAAUACAUGCAAGUCGAACGCUGGAAAUCUAGCUUGCUAGAUUGAAGGAGUGGCGAACGGGUGAGUAAUACAUAAGCAACCUACCCACGAAGACUGGGAUAAUCUCUGGAAACGGGGACUAAUACCGGAUAGGUAAUCGGAAGGCAUCUUCUGAUUAUUAAAGGUUAAAAACACUGGUGGAUGGGCUUAUGGCGCAUUAGUUAGUUGGUGAGGUAACGGCCCACCAAGACGAUGAUGCGUAGCCGGCCUGAGAGGGUGAACGGCCACAUUGGGACUGAGCCACGGCCCAGACUCCUACUGGAGGCAGCAGUAGGGAAUUUUCGGCAAUGGGGGAAACCCUGACCGAACAACGCCGCGUGAGUGAUGACGGCCUUCGGGUUGUAAAGCUCUGUUGUAAGGGAAGAACGGUAGAUAGAGAAUAUCUAAAUGACGGUACCUUACCAGAAAGCCACGGCUAGCUACGUG